This 580-nucleotide unclassified non-coding RNA is filed under the name Hevea brasiliensis (rubber tree). Lineage: Eukaryota; Viridiplantae; Streptophyta; Magnoliopsida; Malpighiales; Euphorbiaceae. The record is from RNAcentral.
AAUAAUAAUAAUAAUAAUAAUCAACAAGCUUUAAGCAAGCUCAAUCAAUUAGAAAAGAUGCAAGCUCAAUCAUCUAUUGAAAAGUUAAAAGAAUCUAACCCAACCGAAAGAAACAAACAGAAACAAUCAGUGUAAACUAAAAAGGCAAGAGAGAAAACCGGAAAAGAAGAAGAAGCAAAAUGAGUACCGUCAUCUUCAGUAGCGGUAUUAGUUGAAGAAUUAACAGAGCCAUUAAAGCCACCGCCACCGCCACCAUCUUCAGCUAGAAAAGAGGUUCCAGAAACGAGAUUGCCAAGCCUAGAAGUGGCAGCGGUCAUGAUCGGCCUUAAUCUGGCGGAGUUUGUAGAGUGAUGAGUUCUCAGGCCGCCGGGUGUGAAUCGGCAGAGCUUGAGAGAAGAGAAAGGAGGUGAAGGAGAGAGAGGGAGGAGCGAGAUGAUAGAAAGGCGAUGAUACACUUUGUAAAGGCGCAUCAUUCGAUUGAUGGGCAGCAUCUUUUUCAUCGUUGGAGUUGUGUAAAAGUGUUUGCGACUUGCAGUAGUGGUGAGACUGACACAGAAUAUCCAAUCAAAAUUAAGUGAAG